AUGGUCUCUUUUUGGUUACUGUUGCUUGGAAGAAAUAAACAUUUUUCCCAAACCCACAGGAAGCUUCUCCAUGAGGAAUCCAGGGCUAGCCUGAAUAUGUUGCUGAGGGACACCAUGGUGUUACAGUAUAAGUGGCUGUACAACUUAACAACAGAAGCCAAGCUGAUGAGAGAAUGUCAUGGGUCACAGCUUGGGCAUUGAUGGAGAUUAAGCAUGUCGUAGAUUAGCUCAAAGUCGUCCAAGAGCCAGGAGUGCCUGCUGUGGAAACUACAACCCUUCCAUAAAAAUGUGGCACUACCACUUGUUUGCUUCCAGGAGUUCUUUAUCAACAGCCCUGGUCUAAUGUACUUAUCAAGACUACCACACAUUAGAAAAAUAGCCAUCAGACCAUGGCUGAACUACCAUGGUAUUUGCCCAGAGGGUUCUUUCAUGCAUCGUAUACAAAGUUUAAAUAAAAGUCUAAGACAGGAUGCACAUUGUUCACAACCUUUUCUGAAAUUUCUGCUAACUGUUUGAAAAGUGACAACAACAUGAUUACUUCUACACCAGCCCAUCUUUCUAACCCCAAAGGCACAAUUUGCAUGAGUUAUCUUUACAGAAUAGGCUUGAAGAGAAGCAUUCCCAGGCCGCUGAUAUAUUCAGGACAAAAUAUCCUUGCAGUUCCUGAAAUGCAGAAGGCAAGUUACUGUCUGCUUUAGAUCUUGUCUUCAAAAUCUUGUAUUUCCCUUUCAUUUGCAAUCCAUUCCCACCGGAAAGCACUGAGGGGAUGAACUUUGUGCAAAAGUUGACUUUCUGUCAUGACAGUGCAUGUGGUUCCUGUACCUUCCCUAAAGUUGAUCCAUCCAGAACAAAGAAGCACUUGAUUUCUCGGAAAGACCAGUCCAGUAAAAGAAGGCAUGUCUGGCAGAAACAUGAUGAAAAAGUUGAUUCUAUGAAUUUCGGGAUGUUUCUAAUAUAGUCAACUAUCAAAGAAACAUUAAAAUACAGUAAGUAUAUCUAUAAAUAAUGCAACAUA
Molecule: long non-coding RNA, 1015 nt
Filed under: Taeniopygia guttata (zebra finch)
Lineage: Eukaryota; Metazoa; Chordata; Aves; Passeriformes; Estrildidae
Description: lncRNA (ENSTGUG00000028720.1)
Source: RNAcentral